RNAcentral lists this ribosomal RNA (446 nucleotides) under uncultured soil bacterium. Its description in RNAcentral is "bacterial SSU rRNA". It matches the Rfam family "Bacterial small subunit ribosomal RNA", at positions 26 to 518 of the family's 1533-position model. The record is from RNAcentral.
AGAACGAACGCUGGCGGCAUGCCUAAUACAUGCAAGUCGAACGAACACUUCGGUGUUAGUGGCGCACGGGUGCGUAACGCGUGGGAAUCUGCCCUUGGGUUCGGAAUAACAGUUGGAAACGACUGCUAAUACCGGAUGAUAUCGAAAGAUCAAAGAUUUAUCGCCCAGGGAUGAGCCCGCGUAGGAUUAGCUAGUUGGUGAGGUAAAGGCUCACCAAGGCGACGAUCCUUAGCUGGUCUGAGAGGAUGAUCAGCCACACUGGGACUGAGACACGGCCCAGACUCCUACGGGAGCAGCAGUAGGGAAUAUGGACAAUGGGCGCAAGCCUGAUCCAGCAAUGCGCGUGAGUGAUGAAGGCCUUAGGGUUGUAAAGCUCUUUACCCGAGAUGAUAAUGACAGUAUCGGGAAGAAUAAGCCCCGGCUAAACUCCGUGCCAAGCAGCCGAC